CAGUAGCCGCGGUAACACGGAGGGAGCUAGCGUUGUUCGGAAUUACUGGGCGUAAAGCGCACGUAGGCGGUUAUUCAAGUCAGAGGUGAAAGCCCGGGGCUCAACCCCGGAACUGCCUUUGAAACUAGAUGACUGGAAUCUUGGAGAGGUCAGUGGAAUUCCGAGUGUAGAGGUGAAAUUCGUAGAUAUUCGGAAGAACACCAGUGGCGAAGGCGACUGACUGGACAAGUAUUGACGCUGAGGUGCGAAAGCGUGGGGAGCAAACAGGAUUAGAUACCCGGGUAGUCCCUGUCUCUUAUAC
Molecule: ribosomal RNA, 301 nt
Filed under: uncultured bacterium
Lineage: Bacteria
Description: partial 16S ribosomal RNA
Rfam family: Bacterial small subunit ribosomal RNA
Source: RNAcentral